RNAcentral lists this ribosomal RNA (250 nucleotides) under uncultured bacterium. Its description in RNAcentral is "partial 16S ribosomal RNA". It matches the Rfam family "Bacterial small subunit ribosomal RNA", at positions 525 to 774 of the family's 1533-position model. The record is from RNAcentral.
ACGAGGGGGGCAAGUGUUGUUCGGAAUCACUGGGCGUAAAGGGAGCGUAGGCGGACGCUUAAGUUGGAUGUUUAAAACCGGGGCCUAACCCCGGCGUGGCAUCCAAAACUGGGCGUCUUGAAUGGGACAGAGGCUGGUGGAAUUGGAGGUGUAGCGGUGGAAUGCGUAGAGAUCUCCAAGAACACCCGUUGCGAAGGCGGCUAUCUGGCCCGUUAUUGACGCUGAGGCGCGAAAGCGUGGGGGGCAAACA